UACGUAGGGGGCAAGCGUUGUUCGGAUUCAUUGGGCGUAAAGGGCUCGUAGGUGGCUUUGUAAGUCGGAGGUGAAAUCCCACGGCUCAACCGUGGACGCGCCUUCGAAACUGUGGAGCUUGAGGCUGGGAGAGGAGAUCGGAAUUCCUGGUGUAGCGGUGAAAUGCGUAGAUAUCAGGAGGAACACCGGUGGCGAAGGCGGAUCUCUGGACCAGUUCUGACACUGAUGAGCGAAAGCCAGGGGAGCAAACAGG
This 253-nucleotide ribosomal RNA is filed under the name uncultured bacterium. RNAcentral describes it as "partial 16S ribosomal RNA". It matches the Rfam family "Bacterial small subunit ribosomal RNA", at positions 524 to 776 of the family's 1533-position model. The record is from RNAcentral.